Molecule: long non-coding RNA, 409 nt
Filed under: Equus caballus (horse)
Lineage: Eukaryota; Metazoa; Chordata; Mammalia; Perissodactyla; Equidae
Description: lncRNA (ENSECAG00000055871.1)
Source: RNAcentral
GGGGAAGCCAUCUGCCAUGCUGGAGGACACCCAAGCAGCAAUGUGCAGAGGCCCACGUGGAGAGAAACUGAGCCUUCCUAGUCACAGCCACCAACUUGCCACCCAGCAGAACUCAAGUGUUUACAUGGCUGAUUGGGAAAUGAAGUGUUGUUGGGAUUUCUAGGAACAAAAAAAGGUGGUCCUUUCACCCUCUCUUCCUGCUUCCUGCUGCCUGAGACAGAGAUGUGAUGAUCGGAGCUAUCGGAGGCAUCUCAGACUUGGAGGUGACCUUGAAGCCGUGUGCUGAGGAGGUGGAGCAGAUCGACAUCUUGAUGACGCCAUUGAGCCACCAUGUCAAUAGUGGCCUGGCCUACUUCCAGAUGUUUUGUUUUUUUUACCUGGGAGAAAAAUAAACUUCUAUCUUACGUAA